GAGCUCUCCUGUGCAGAGUAGGGUUUGAACGGUGUCCCUGGCCACAACCCACUGGUUGCCAAUGGAACCCCCCAGUUUUGACAACCAAAAAUGUUUCCAGACAUGACAGAUGUCCCCUGGGGUAAGGUUGCAAGACAAAAUGCAGGUUUCCCAGAUACAUUUGAAUUUCAGUUAAGCGGCUCAUAACUUCUGUAGUCUAAUUAUGUCCGAAAGAUUGCAUUUUUAUUUGCUAAAUCCAGAAACCCUACACAACCACCUCAGCUGAGAGCCACUGCCCCACGAGUGCGUGAUGCCUGCAGGAGGCUAAGCCACCAGAUGGAAAAGGUGCGGCGGGAACACAGUGGCCUGGCCUGGUCGAGGCAGGGUGCUGUCUGGGGGCAGGCCCAGCAAUGGAAUCACCCAGAAGAUACAACGUAUCCAGUAGUUGUAGGACGCAGAGCAGGAACCCACUCUAGCCUCAGCCAAAACAAGGAAUUGGCUGAAGGAUGUUGGCUGGCUUGUGUAUUUUCCAGAAG
This 515-nucleotide long non-coding RNA is filed under the name Ursus maritimus (polar bear). RNAcentral describes it as "lncRNA (ENSUMAG00000015253.1)". The record is from RNAcentral. Lineage: Eukaryota; Metazoa; Chordata; Mammalia; Carnivora; Ursidae.